RNAcentral lists this transfer RNA (65 nucleotides) under Coeliccia cyanomelas. RNAcentral describes it as "tRNA-His". The record is from RNAcentral. Lineage: Eukaryota; Metazoa; Arthropoda; Insecta; Odonata; Platycnemididae.
UCUUAAGUAGUUUAAGUAAAAACUAUGAUUUGUGGAGUCAUGAAUGUAUUUAUAUACCUUAGGUA